GAGGGAGUGGCAGACGGGUGAGUAACACGUGGGAACGUACCCUUCGGUUCGGAAUAACUCAGGGAAACUUGUGCUAAUACCGAAUACGUCCGAGAGGAGAAAGAUUUAUCGCCGAAGGAUCGGCCCGCGUCUGAUUAGCUUGUUGGUGGGGUAAAGGCUCACCAAGCCGACGAUCUAUAGCUGGUCUGAGAGGACGACCAGCCACACUGGAACUGAGACACGGUCCAGACUCC
This 233-nucleotide ribosomal RNA is filed under the name uncultured bacterium. RNAcentral's name for it is "partial 16S ribosomal RNA". It matches the Rfam family "Bacterial small subunit ribosomal RNA", at positions 89 to 339 of the family's 1533-position model. The record is from RNAcentral.